UACGAAGGGGGCUAGGGUUGCUCGGAAUUACUGGGCGGAAAGGGAGCGUAGGCGGACAGUUUAGUCAGAGGUGAAAGCCCAGGGCUCAACCUUGGAAUUGCCUUUGAUGCUGACUGUCUUGAGUAUGGGAGAGGUUAGCGGAACUCCGAGUGUAGAGGUGAAAUUCGUAUAUAUUCGGAAGAACACCAGUGGCGAAGGCGGCUAACUGGCCCAUUACUGACGCUGAGGCUCGAAAGCGUGGGGAGCAAACAGG
This 253-nucleotide ribosomal RNA is filed under the name uncultured bacterium. RNAcentral describes it as "partial 16S ribosomal RNA". It matches the Rfam family "Bacterial small subunit ribosomal RNA", at positions 524 to 776 of the family's 1533-position model. The record is from RNAcentral.